CGAUGGAAAACAGGUUAAUAUUCCUGUACUGAUUUUUAAGUGGUACCGAGGGACGGAGAAGGGAACGGUUGGUCAAUAUUGGAUGUUGACGGAAACGUUCAAGGUGAUGAGAGAUAGAAUAAAAACUAUUCUUGAGCUGAGGCGUGAUACGGUUUGAUUCCCUGUAUGAGAGCUUUGCUCAAAUUCAAAAUGAAACUCAAUUAGUUGUCAAACUUCCUAGAAAAGCUCGAACUUCCAAUACUUAAAAAUUACCCGUACCCGAAACCGACACAGGUAGGUAGGUAGAGUAUACCAAGGGGCGCGAGAUAACUCUCUCUAAGGAACUCGGCAAAAUGGCCCCGUAACUUCGGGAGAAGGGGUGCCCUCAAUUAAGAGGGCCGCAGUGACCAGGCCCAGGCGACUGUUUACCAAAAACACAGGUCUCCGCUAAGUCGUAAGACAAUAUAUGGGGGCUGACGCCUGCCCAGUGCCGGAAGGUGAAGGAAGUUGGUUACUUGAACAUUUGUUUGAGAAAGCUGACAACCGAAGCCCCGGUGAACGGCGGCCGUAACUAUAACGGUCCUAAGGUAGCGAAAUUCCUUGUCAGGUAAGUUCUGACCCGCACGAAAGGUGUAACGAUCUGGGCACUGUCUCGGAGAGAGGCUCGGUGAAAUAGACAUGUCCGUGAAGAUGCGGACUACCUACACCUGGACAGAAAGACCCUAUGAAGCUUUACUGUAGCCUGGAAUUGAAUUUGGGCUUUUCUUGCGCAGUCUAGGUGGGAGGCGUUGAUAGUUCCUUUCCGGAGGAGCUGGAGCCAUCAGUGAGAGACCACUCUGGAGAAGCUAGAAUUCUAAUGGCGAUCCUUGAAUCAGGACGCUUGACAGUUUCAGGUGGGCAGUUUGACUGGGGCGGUCGUCUCCUAAAAGGUAACGGAGAUGUGCAAAGGUUCCCUCAGGCUGGACGGAAAUCAGCCGAAGAGUGUAAAGGCAUAUGGGAGCUUGACUGCAAGACCUACAAGUCGAGCAGGGGCGAAAGCCGGCCUUAGUGAUCCGACGGUACCGAGUGGAAGGGCCGUCGCUCAACGGAUAAA
This 1072-nucleotide ribosomal RNA is filed under the name Trebouxia sp. W0131. Its description in RNAcentral is "LSU rRNA". It matches the Rfam family "Bacterial large subunit ribosomal RNA", at positions 1416 to 2460 of the family's 2925-position model. The record is from RNAcentral. Lineage: Eukaryota; Viridiplantae; Chlorophyta; Trebouxiophyceae; Trebouxiales; Trebouxiaceae.